This 465-nucleotide ribosomal RNA is filed under the name uncultured Streptococcus sp. RNAcentral's name for it is "bacterial SSU rRNA". It matches the Rfam family "Bacterial small subunit ribosomal RNA", at positions 338 to 795 of the family's 1533-position model. The record is from RNAcentral. Lineage: Bacteria; Bacillati; Bacillota; Bacilli; Lactobacillales; Streptococcaceae.
CCUACGGGGGGCAGCAGUAGGGAAUCUUCGGCAAUGGACGGAAGUCUGACCGAGCAACGCCGCGUGAGUGAAGAAGGUUUUCGGAUCGUAAAGCUCUGUUGUAAGAGAAGAACGAGUGUGAGAGUGGAAAGUUCACACUGUGACGGUAUCUUACCAGAAAGGGACGGCUAACUACGUGCCAGCAGCCGCGGUAAUACGUAGGUCCCGAGCGUUGUCCGGAUUUAUUGGGCGUAAAGCGAGCGCAGGCGGUUAGAUAAGUCUGAAGUUAAAGGCUGUGGCUUAACCAUAGUACGCUUUGGAAACUGUUUAACUUGAGUGCAAGAGGGGAGAGUGGAAUUCCAUGUGUAGCGGUGAAAUGCGUAGAUAUAUGGAGGAACACCGGUGGCGAAAGCGGCUCUCUGGCUUGUAACUGACGCUGAGGCUCGAAAGCGUGGGGAGCGAACAGGAUUAGAUACCCGGGUAGUC